Molecule: ribosomal RNA, 860 nt
Filed under: uncultured bacterium
Lineage: Bacteria
Description: bacterial SSU rRNA
Rfam family: Bacterial small subunit ribosomal RNA
Source: RNAcentral
AGAGUUNGAUCCUGGCUCAGAACGAACGCUGGCGGCAGGCUUAACACAUGCAAGUCGAGCGCCCCGCAAGGGGAGUGGCAGACGGGUGAGUAACGCGUGGGAACAUACCCCUCGGUUCGGAAUAGCUCAGGGAAACUUGAAUUAAUACCGAAUACGGUCGAGAGGCGAAAGAUUUAUCGCCGAGGGAUUGGCCCGCGUCCGAUUAGCUAGUUGGUGAGGUAAUGGCCCACCAAGGCGACGAUCGGUAGCUGGUCUGAGAGGAUGAUCAGCCACAUUGGGACUGAGACACGGCCCAAACUCCUACGGGAGGCAGCAGUGGGGAAUAUUGGACAAUGGGCGCAAGCCUGAUCCAGCCAUGCCGCGUGAGUGAUGACGGCCUUAGGGUUGUAAAGCUCUUUCGUCAGGGACGAUAAUGACGGUACCUGAAGAAGAAGCCCCGGCUAACUUCGUGCCAGCAGCCGCGGUAAUACGAAGGGGGCUAGCGUUGUUCGGAAUUACUGGGCGUAAAGCGCGUGUAGGCGGGUCUUUAAGUCAGGGGUGAAAUGCCAGGGCUCAACCUUGGAACUGCCUUUGAUACUGGAGAUCUUGAGUCCGGGAGAGGUGAGUGGAACUGCGAGUGUAGAGGUGAAAUUCGUAGAUAUUCGCAAGAACACCAGUGGCGAAGGCGGCUCACUGGCCCGGUACUGACGCUGAGAUGCGAAAGCGUGGGGAGCAAACAGGAUUAGAUACCCUGGUAGUCCACGCUGUAAACGAUGGAUGCUAGCCGUUAGGCAGCUUGCUGCUUAGUGGCGCAGUUAACACUUUAAGCAUCCCGCCUGGGGAGUACGGUCGCAAGAUUWAAACUCAAAGGAAUGACGGAA